RNAcentral lists this ribosomal RNA (433 nucleotides) under uncultured bacterium. RNAcentral's name for it is "partial 16S ribosomal RNA". It matches the Rfam family "Bacterial small subunit ribosomal RNA", at positions 29 to 507 of the family's 1533-position model. The record is from RNAcentral.
AACGAACGCUGGCGGCAUGCCUAACACAUGCAAGUCGAACGAGACCUUCGGGUCUAGUGGCGCACGGGUGCGUAACGCGUGGGAAUCUGCCCUUGGGUUCGGAAUAACAGUUGGAAACGACUGCUAAUACCGGAUGAUGACGUAAGUCCAAAGAUUUAUCGCCCAAGGAUGAGCCCGCGUAGGAUUAGCUAGUUGGUGAGGUAAAGGCUCACCAAGGCGACGAUCCUUAGCUGGUCUGAGAGGAUGGUCAGCCACACUGGGACUGAGACACGGCCCAGACUCCUACGGGAGGCAGCAGUGGGGAAUAUUGGACAAUGGGCGAAAGCCUGAUCCAGCAAUGCCGCGUGAGUGAUGAAGGCCUUAGGGUUGUAAAGCUCUUUUACCCGGGAUGAUAAUGACAGUACCGGGAGAAUAAGCUCCGGCUAACUCCGUG